AAUCACCUGGUCAGGCCCACCGACGUUGGGA
This 31-nucleotide small RNA is filed under the name Bombyx mori (domestic silkworm). RNAcentral's name for it is "ovarian small RNA-10770". The record is from RNAcentral. Lineage: Eukaryota; Metazoa; Arthropoda; Insecta; Lepidoptera; Bombycidae.